GAUGAACGCUGGCGGCGUGCCUAAUACAUGCAAGUCGAGCGAACAGACGAGGAGCUUGCUCCUUCGACGUUAGCGGCGGACGGGUGAGUAACACGUAGGUAACCUACCUAUAAGACUGGGAUAACUUCGGGAAACCGGAGCUAAUACCGGAUAAUAUUUCGAACCGCAUGGUUCGAUAGUGAAAGAUGGCUUUGCUAUCACUUAUAGAUGGACCUGCGCCGUAUUAGCUAGUUGGUAAGGUAACGGCUUACCAAGGCAACGAUACGUAACCGACCUGAGAGGGUGAUCGGCCACACUGGAACUGAGACAGGGUCCAGACGACUACGGGAGGCAGCAGUAGGGAAUCUUACGCAAUGGGCGAAAGCCUGACGGAGCAACGCCGAGUGAGUGAUGAAGGUCUUCGGAGCGUAAAACUCUGUUAUUAGGGAAGAACAAACGUGUAAGUAACUGUGCACGUCUUGACGGUACCUAAUCAGAAAGCCACGGCUAACUACGUG
RNAcentral lists this ribosomal RNA (497 nucleotides) under uncultured bacterium. RNAcentral describes it as "partial 16S ribosomal RNA". It matches the Rfam family "Bacterial small subunit ribosomal RNA", at positions 28 to 507 of the family's 1533-position model. The record is from RNAcentral.